This is a non-coding RNA of Podarcis lilfordi (Lilford's wall lizard), 67 nucleotides long. The record is from the annotation of a GenBank genome assembly. NCBI's taxonomy places the organism in Eukaryota, Metazoa, Chordata, Lepidosauria, Squamata, Lacertidae.
GAGUUGAGUUGGUUACAGCAUGGUGCUGAUAAUACCAAGGCCACAGGUUUGAUCCCUGUAUGGAAUA